Long non-coding RNA from Boleophthalmus pectinirostris (great blue-spotted mudskipper), 603 nucleotides. RefSeq lists it as uncharacterized. The transcript has 3 exons. The record is from RefSeq and is a predicted model, not a curated record. NCBI's taxonomy places the organism in Eukaryota, Metazoa, Chordata, Actinopteri, Gobiiformes, Gobiidae.
GGUGUAGAGCUUCUUCCUACAUUGUGAACGACGGAUUAAUAACUAGCCACACUAGCAUGAUUCUCAAUGUCUCACGUGCUGCAGCCCUGAAGCCUAUAGAACAUAAUGACCACAUGACAGAGACAAAUACUACUACUACUACUACUACUACUACUACUACUACUACUACUACUACUACUACUACUAUGCUUCUUCUGUCAUCUCCUCAUCUGCACUGCUGCUGCUGCUGUUAAUAUUGUUCAGUUUACCUUUGAUUCUCCUAAAACUGGGAAAGGUACACGUCAAUUCUUUUCUUGCAAAACAUGGACCAGAACAUGUCACUCCUUCAGAUCCACAUCAUGUGUAUGAGGACAUGUUAUGAGAUAAGAUUCAUACGUGUGUAUGAAGAAAUGUCAUCCUGUCACCUUGACGACGACGACGACGACAAUGACAACAACAACAACAACCUGAUAAAAUAGAGUCAAAGAAAAGCCUCUGACGUCUUGUGACGUCUGUGCUCAUGUUGCAGCACUUGGCAGGACUUGCCCAGAGCUCCUAUUGCCUCUUCUUCUUCUUCUUCUUCUUCUUCUUCUUCUUCUUCUUCUUCUUCUUCUUCUUCUUCUU